AUAUAUUUGUGCUGUUAGCUAGAAAAGAAGCAUGAAGAUCAAAGAUUUGGUAAAGUAUAAAUCACAAUAGGCAUUGUUACGUACACCAAUUCUUUUCUAGAUGACAUCAGAGAUGUGACGUCACGAAGUGGUGAUGACGCAACAGAAGAACCCACUUCAAUAUGGUAUGUGACGUCACAGAGGAUCAAGAGGACCAGGAGCGCGAAUCAGGAAUGAAGAAAAGUCAGCGUUUAUGCUGCCGAAGAAAAGCGCAAGACGAAGAGCAAAGACGAAGACAUCGAAUAUGGAUACCGGUUUGAGGUUUUGCUUAGGCUUAGGAGUUGUGUGUUGUUGGGGUGUGGUUGCUGGAGCACUCUUACAGUGUUGCCGGAUUUGUGAUUGUCUCCCAUUUAUGCUGCAUCUAAUGUAGGCAGCCUUUUUGUCAGUCACUACUUUAGUGCAUUUUGCAUGUCUAUGAAAUAUUUGCAAUAAAACUAUGGCAAACAUCUUGCUGGAUCGGAUUUUCUUGAUGUACACGUCAUUGUGUGCUUCUUCUGCAAAGGUCGAAUCCUUUAGCGAUUCUGCAUUGUCCUAAUCACCUGAUAAGAACGGCAUGUUGGUACACAAAUACUUUGAGUAAUAUCCACGCGCAUUAUAAUAUACACGCGGUUAAAAUUUUAGAUUUAAUAUCUCUC
Ciona intestinalis (vase tunicate) is the source of this 674-nucleotide non-coding RNA. The record is from RefSeq and is a predicted model, not a curated record. NCBI's taxonomy places the organism in Eukaryota, Metazoa, Chordata, Ascidiacea, Phlebobranchia, Cionidae.